RNAcentral lists this long non-coding RNA (648 nucleotides) under Pogona vitticeps (central bearded dragon). Its description in RNAcentral is "lncRNA (ENSPVIG00000021925.1)". Lineage: Eukaryota; Metazoa; Chordata; Lepidosauria; Squamata; Agamidae. The record is from RNAcentral.
AGAAAGACCAUGAUCUGGGAGAAGUUCUUCAAAAUAUUAAUACAGUACUUCAAUACCUUUGCCCUUCUUACUGCAAAAACCACAUGCAUGAUUACUCAGAAGUAAUGCCUUUUGAGUUCAGUGGGAGAUGCUAAUAGCUGAGAUUCUGAGAAUAAAGAGUCCCAAAUGGUCACUUUGUGCAUGCCAAGUUGGAACUGAGUUACGGCAAUCCUAACAGGGCUUUCAAGGAAUUCUUUAGGAUACCUCAGAUAAAUAUCUCCUCAUCAUCAUCCUGUCUGAAAUCCUAUAACUGAAGUCGAUAACAAGGAUUGAACCAAAGGACUUUCACUAUACCUUUCUCCCAGGGCUGGGACUCAAAGAAGCUUACAACAAUAUUACAGUUAGAGUUAUGUACUCUUUCCUCAUCCAACCCACACCUGAAGAAAUGCACACAAAUUGGGACACAGUUCCCUCUGUGUCCUCUGAGAGAUGUGCUGAUUUGUAUCUGCUCUGGUAAUUGGACAUUCCCAGAUAUUACGAAUAUGUGCAUGUUUUCUUUUUUUAAAAAAAAUCAAUUCCCACUCUAGAGCUUUACUUUAAGAUUCUGUAUCAUGACCAGCCUUGGGUUCUUUGUUCCAAACUGAGGCAGACAUGGUUUGGCACAAAUUG